GCCAGGGGCUCCAUUCUGACACUGACAGAACCAACAUGGCGUGUGGGCUGAGCUGGCUUUUCCUGGUGGCUGUGUUAGGAGGGGUCCAGUGUGAGGUGCAGCUGGUAGAGUCUGGGGGAGACUUGGUGCAGCCCGGAGAGUCCCUGACAGUCUCCUGUGCAGCCUCUGGAUUCAAUGUUGGCAGCUCUUAUAUGAGCUGGGUCUGCCAGGCUCCAGGGAAGGGCCUAGAGUGGGUCUCAUACAUUAGUGCUGGUGGUAGUACAUACUAUGCCGACUCUGUGAAGGGCCGAUUCACCAUCUCCAGAGACAACAACAAGAACACACUCUCUCUGCAAAUGAGCCCCCUGAGGAAGGACGACACGGCCCUGUACUACUGUGCGAGAGUUACAAUUCAUACCUGCACUUUCAAUGAUGUUACCAGAUUUAUCAAAAUUGUCAAUUUACAAAAAGUGAGCAAAACUGUUCCAAUGACAGGGAAAAUGCCCGUAUCUGAUGUGAAACAUGAAGUGAGGAGCAUCUCUGUGGGACUGGGGAAUAUCCACCUUGCAGAGGCCAUUGAUCAAAUGCUUGGACCCGAUGUCUCCCUAUGUCCUGUCCAGGUACAGCUACAGGAGUUGGGACCAAGACUGGUGACACCCUCGAAGAUGCUGUCCCUCACCGGCUCCAUCUCUGAAUUCUCUCUAACCGACUAUGGUGUGAUCUGGGUUCUCCAGCAACCAGGAAAGUGA
Non-coding RNA from Sorex fumeus (smoky shrew), 728 nucleotides. The record is from the annotation of a RefSeq genome assembly. Lineage: Eukaryota; Metazoa; Chordata; Mammalia; Eulipotyphla; Soricidae.